This 292-nucleotide ribosomal RNA is filed under the name uncultured bacterium. RNAcentral's name for it is "partial 16S ribosomal RNA". The record is from RNAcentral.
GGACUACUGGGGUAUCUAAUCCUGUUUGCUACCCUAGCCUUCGCGCCUCAGCGUCAGUUACAACCCAGCUAACCGCCUUCGCCACUGGUAUUCCUCCCGAUAUCUACGCAUUUCACCACUACACCGGGAAUUCUGUUAGCCUCUUUUGCACUCUAGUUUAGCAGUCUCCGAUGACCCUCUCCGGUUAAGCCGAAGGCUUUCACAUCGAACUUGCUAUACCGCCUACUCGCCCUUUACGCCCAGUAAUUCCGGACAACGCUUGCUCCCUACGUAUUACCGCGGCUGCUGGCAC